RNAcentral lists this ribosomal RNA (118 nucleotides) under Pteropus alecto (black flying fox). The record is from RNAcentral. Lineage: Eukaryota; Metazoa; Chordata; Mammalia; Chiroptera; Pteropodidae.
CCCAGUGGCCACGCCGCUCUGAACGUGCCGACCUUGUCUGAUCUCAGAAGCUAAGCAGGGUUGGGCCUGCUUAGUAUUUGGAUGGGAGACCACCUAGGAAGACCAGGUGCUGUAGGCA